AGGGGAGUAGCUCAACUGGCAGAGCGGCGGUCUCCAAAACCGUAGGUUGCGGGUUCAAGUCCUGUCUCCCCUGCCA
Molecule: transfer RNA, 76 nt
Filed under: Heliorestis convoluta
Lineage: Bacteria; Bacillati; Bacillota; Clostridia; Eubacteriales; Heliobacteriaceae
Also listed under: 3 other names
Description: tRNA-Trp
Rfam family: tRNA
About the family: Transfer RNA (tRNA) molecules are approximately 80 nucleotides in length. Their secondary structure includes four short double-helical elements and three loops (D, anti-codon, and T loops).
Source: RNAcentral